CAUUCAUCUUCUUCCCCUCUCUCCAAGUUGCCGACUCACCCUCUCCUUCUCCCCCUCUCUUCAUUUUUUUCUCCGCCCGACGAAGACCUCCGACCAGUGGCAGAUCCGGAGAGAGAUAAGAGAACCAGCAGCAACCAUGAAAUGACAACUCCAGCCAGUAGCGAGCAAGCAGCAGCAUCAUCAUCAUCCAGGCAAGGAUUUCUAGGGGACAACAACUCCAGCAGUGACCGACGAAAUGACCAGCAACGAGCUCCGCAAGGUAGCAGCAGCGGCUCUGAUCAACAACUUCACGCUGUGCAACAUCAGUAAAGACAACAAUGGGCCAGCGAGACCCUCAUGUCUCCAUUCUCUCAUCUCCGACGAAUUCACAGAUCAUAUGGAUAAGGACAGAUCUAUGUAGAUCUAUCUCAGCUAUGAAACUUUGCUUUCAAAUCUUAAAUAUUCAUUAAUGUGGGCUGCUUGUUAUUGAAGUUUCAUGAUAAAAUUAAUAUGUGUUAAUUUGACUUAUACUUAAUCAUCCAGCAUGAUAUGGUGUUGUUUGUGUUAAAUUAUCAUCUCUUACUUCAUGUUGGUGUUCAUCUUGAGGUUCAGAAUAAUUGGUCUGUAUGAGCGAUUGUUUCCUUGUAAAAUCAUGUUUGAGGCCUAAUCGAAGAACUAAUCUGUUACUCUUCAA
Long non-coding RNA from Solanum pennellii, 673 nucleotides. RefSeq lists it as uncharacterized. The transcript is spliced from 2 exons. NCBI's taxonomy places the organism in Eukaryota, Viridiplantae, Streptophyta, Magnoliopsida, Solanales, Solanaceae. The record is from RefSeq and is a predicted model, not a curated record.